Hibiscus syriacus is the source of this 407-nucleotide long non-coding RNA. RefSeq lists it as uncharacterized. NCBI's taxonomy places the organism in Eukaryota, Viridiplantae, Streptophyta, Magnoliopsida, Malvales, Malvaceae. The transcript has 3 exons. The record is from RefSeq and is a predicted model, not a curated record.
CUGUGACAGUUUGUUAUGGAAUCGUUGGGUUUGUGAACUUUUAGGGAUCUUAUUCCAUGAUGCUGAUCACCAAAAGAAAGAAGAUUGGUGUAAUUUGUGGCCAUCUAUCUAUGCCAUUUCCAAGAGCGAGACGAUUCCAAUUCCAAAAGCUCCUAUCCAAUCCAAUAUGGCUUAUUCUAAGAAUGAAAAAAGGGUACAAGAAACUCCUUUCGACAGUGGAUCUCACAAAGGACUUCUUUUUCAGCUACACCUACAAUGUCAUGCAUAGUCUUCAAAGAAAUUUAUGUAGGAAUGAAACAGGAAUAGUAAACUAUGAAUCGAUGUUUGUUUGGAAUGAGUUCUUAACUCGAGGGAUUCUCAAUACUCUCAAGAACACUCUAUGGACUGUCGCAUUGGUAUAUGGCUUC